GGUCGCUUAGCUCAGUUGGGAGAGCACCUGCCUUACAAGCAGGGGGUCACUGGUUCGAGCCCAGUAGCGACCACCA
Molecule: transfer RNA, 76 nt
Filed under: Sebaldella termitidis
Lineage: Bacteria; Fusobacteriati; Fusobacteriota; Fusobacteriia; Fusobacteriales; Leptotrichiaceae
Also listed under: 4 other names
Description: tRNA-Val(tac)
Rfam family: tRNA
About the family: Transfer RNA (tRNA) molecules are approximately 80 nucleotides in length. Their secondary structure includes four short double-helical elements and three loops (D, anti-codon, and T loops).
Source: RNAcentral